GGGUCAGUAGGUUGGUCGUGCCACCGGUACGUACUGGUCUCACUGAUUCCUCCUUCCUGAAGAACCGUAAUGCCAUUAAUUUGGUGUUGCGGGAAAACAGGACUGUUACUUUGAAAAAAUUAGAGUGUUUAAAGCAAGCUAACGCUUGAAUACAUUAGCAUGGAAUAAUGAAAUAGGACAAUCGAUCCUAUUUUGUUGGUUUCUAGGAUUGACGUA
Molecule: ribosomal RNA, 216 nt
Filed under: Glomeromycotina sp.
Lineage: Eukaryota; Fungi; Glomeromycota
Description: partial small subunit ribosomal RNA
Rfam family: Eukaryotic small subunit ribosomal RNA (bases 40-216)
Source: RNAcentral